AUGAACGCUGGCGGCGUGCCUAAUACAUGCAAGUCGAGCGAACAGAUGAGGAGCUUGCUCCUCUGACGUUAGCGGCGGACGGGUGAGUAACACGUGGAUAACCUACCUAUAAGACUGGGAUAACUUCGGGAAACCGGAGCUAAUACCGGAUAAUAUAUUGAACCGCAUGGUUCAAUAGUGAAAGACGGUUUUGCUGUCACUUAUAGAUGGAUCCGCGCCGCAUUAGCUAGUUGGUAAGGUAACGGCUUACCAAGGCGACGAUGCGUAGCCGACCUGAGAGGGUGAUCGGCCACACUGGAACUGAGACACGGUCCAGACUCCUACGGGAGGCAGCAGUAGGGAAUCUUCCGCAAUGGGCGAAAGCCUGACGGAGCAACGCCGCGUGAGUGAUGAAGGUCUUCGGAUCGUAAAACUCUGUUAUUAGGGAAGAACAAAUGUGUAAGUAACUAUGCACGUCUUGACGGUACCUAAUCAGAAAGCCACGGCUAACUACGU
Molecule: ribosomal RNA, 495 nt
Filed under: uncultured bacterium
Lineage: Bacteria
Description: partial 16S ribosomal RNA
Rfam family: Bacterial small subunit ribosomal RNA
Source: RNAcentral